Molecule: ribosomal RNA, 406 nt
Filed under: uncultured bacterium
Lineage: Bacteria
Description: partial 16S ribosomal RNA
Rfam family: Bacterial small subunit ribosomal RNA
Source: RNAcentral
AUUGAACGCUGGCGGCAGGCCUAACACAUGCAAGUCGAACGAGUGGCGGACGGGUGAGUAAUGUCUGGGAAACGGCCUGAUGGAGGGGGAUAACUACUGGAAACGGUAGAUAAUACCGCAUAACAUCAGAUGUGCCCAGAUGGGUUGAGCGUGUUGGUGGGGUAACGGCUCACCAAGGCGACGAUCCAUAGCUGGUCUGAGAGGAUGACCAGCACCACUGGAACUGUGACACGGUCCAGACUCCUACGGGCGGCAGCAGUGGGGAAUAUUGCGCAAUGGGCGCAAGCCUGAUACAGCCAUGCCGCGUGUAUGAAGAAGGCCUUCGGGUUGUAAAGUACUUUCAGCGGGGAGGCGUUACCCGCAGAAGAAGCACCGGCUAACUCCGUGCCAGCAGCCGCGGUAAUUC